RNAcentral lists this ribosomal RNA (772 nucleotides) under uncultured Neocallimastigales. Its description in RNAcentral is "partial large subunit ribosomal RNA". It matches the Rfam family "Eukaryotic large subunit ribosomal RNA", at positions 24 to 635 of the family's 3401-position model. Lineage: Eukaryota; Fungi; Neocallimastigomycota; Neocallimastigomycetes; Neocallimastigales. The record is from RNAcentral.
AUGUGAUCGUCUCUCGCAUAUCAAUAAGCGGAGGAAAAGAAACUAACAAGGAUUCCCCUAGUAACGGCGAGUGAAGCGGGAAGAGCUCAAAUUUGAAAUCUUAAAGGGUUUCCCUUUACGAAUUGUAGUUUAAAGAAGUGUUUUCUGUUGAGGUUUUGGUAAAAGUUCUUUGGAAUAGGACAUCAUAGAGGGUGAGAAUCCCGUAUUUGACCUUUACUUUCAACUUUGUGAUACACUUUCAAAGAGUCGGAUUGUUUGGGAAUGCAGUCCAAAAUGGGUGGUAAAUUUCAUCUAAAGCUAAAUAUUGGCGAGAGACCGAUAGCGAACAAGUACCGUGAGGGAAAGAUGAAAAGAACUUUGAAAAGAGAGUUAAACAGUACGUGAAAUUGUCAAAAGGGAAGCGUUUGACACCAGUGUUGUUUUUCUGAAAAUCAAUUAAAGAACUGUUUAUGCUAAGCUGUUUAGACUUUAUCAGCUAACUGUUUAGUUUUGAGCUUUUCUUUAAUGCACUUUUCAGUUAACAAGUCAACAUCAAUUUCUUUUGCUGUAAAAAAGCUUGAGGAAGGUGGCUUGAGAUUCGUCUUAAGUGUUUAUAGCCUCUUGCCUAUGCAGUCGGAGAGAUUGAGGUCUGCAGCGUAGAUCCUUCGGGGCUAAAUGCAUUUGUGCUAGUUAUAGCAUUUUAUAGACAACUUGUUGACUAUGAUUUGUCUUGUAGCUUACUCGCUUAUGUUAUUUUACCUACGCUUAGGAUGUUGAACGCGCACAGAGUCUC